UUGCACGCGCACAGUCCCUCUUUAAGUAUCUCGGUCUUCGAAUCAAAGCAUCAAACUAAAAAAUUCUCUCUCAAACUUGAAGGAGAGCUUAAACAUUCAUCAAUGGACUGGAAGAGCACAGAGCAAGCAUCGAUGGAGCGUCACGCACCGAAUCACUCCUCCUCCACCUCCUCAUCAAUUCCUGCAACUGAAAACACUGUUUGGGCCGACGCGUCGCCUCUCCUUGAAACCGUUUGUAAAGAAUUACGCGACGGUGAGCUAAUUCAUGGCGAGAAUUUCAACCUAUAUGCUGCAAUGUCUGCUCUAGAGAUUAUGGACCCGAAGAUGGAUUCUGGAAUCAUCAACAAGUAUGCUUCAGUUGAUGAAGCGAUCGAAGACGGUUUGGCUCCUGUACCUAUUGGCCUUGACAAAACUGUUGAUGUUCAGUGCAUCAUUGACAUCAUCGACCAACUCUUAGCGUGUGAGGCAACAUGGCACAAGGGUCACUCGUUGGCACAGACUGUUUUUUCAUGCGCCUACCUUCUGAGACCAGAGAGGACAUUAUCACAUGCCCUAUUGGAUUCUUAUUGCAAAGUCAUCCGUGCAACGUGCAAGGCAGUGACUUCAAUUGUCUCAGAUGCACGCACACAUGAAGAAGAGGAUCUGUUUACAAUGGCUUAUGGUCUUCCUCUGAACGUGGAAGGAGAUGAAAAGUGCUUGUCGUUGUUAAAUGCUGUCGAAGAGAAUAUUUCUCGCCAGCUGCGAGCUUGCAAAGCUCUGCCCUCCAAAAGAAAACCGUUAGAGGAUAUAGAGCCUCUACAAAAUAAUUUUGAUCUGGAAGAAGGCUACUGCAAAGCAUUGUUAUGCCGCUUACGCUUUCGUAAGCACUUUUGCCAUGUUUUAACCUGCAUGAGGCGACCUCAAGGAAGAGGUCUAGAAUUGGCAAGAAAACAUAUAGCUUCCUGCAUUUCAGAGCUAGGAAGCAUUCUUAACUCUGCAGAAUUCCUAAUGUCUAAUGCCUAUGGAACUUGCGAAGAUGGUACAGAAGAUAGAACAACUGCUUCUGGCCGUCAAGCUAUUGGGUUUGAUGCUAAUUUAAACAGCAGAAUUUCAGCCCCAACUCCACCACGUUCAAUUAAAAUUCUUAGUUGGAAAAAGGCCAUCGAGUAUUUUGAAAAACUUCUUCAUCAUCUAGAUAUCAUAUGCUCAUACCUGUUGGACCCUUCUUUGGAUGUUCUUUUGCGCUUUGUGGCUCAAUUUCAAAAAGCACAACCUGAUUUGGUUGCAAGAGUGCAUCUCCAGCUUCUGUUGGUUCAAGAUGGAAAACUCUAUGGGCGGUAUCCUAUCUUAGCUGUGAUUAUUAGAGCUGCACGGUUGCCUGAGGUCAUUAUGCGCCAUGAUAUUCAGAAGAAUGAAUAUGUUGUGCAGUUAGGACAGAUAGUGAUCAACAUGCUCAAGGUUCUUUGCACAAAUGCUGCAUGGCAGAGGCGUAAACUUGGAAAGAUUUUACAAGAUUGGCGGGCUAUCUAUGUACAGCUAGAGCUUGCAUUCAGAAAGGAGUUUGGAGAAGGCUCGAGCAUUUCAAAUGGCGAGAAUGCAUCAGCAGGAAUAUUAAAACACAUCCUCAUUUGGGUGGAGGAGCAAACUUAUUGGAUUGCCCAUCGAUUUCUCGUUCUUGGUUUCGAAUUGGAGCUCUAUUCUCCCAGCGAAUAUUGCAUGGUGUAUUGGUAUUUAUAUGUUGUCUUGAUCAGGCUUGCAGAGAAAACACAUCUGAAGAUGACAGUGAGUGAUGGCAGUGCUAAACAGAAGGGAAAGAAAAGAAAGGAUUCUCCGAAAGAUCUGGCAAGAGAAGCUCGGAUCCCACCAGCAAUCUCGUUUCUUCAAUGCCAAAUAUGUCUUGCUGAGGGGCUCGCACUGCUACUCGCUGCUCUGAGGAAUGAACUGAUGGUCUUACAAUCUCCCAGCCCGUUUAAUUCUGAACAUGAGAGGUUUAUACAGCAUUUUGAACUUCUACAAAAAGCUUGUAUCCCUGAUCUCAUUUCAUACCCCUCAUUCAAGGAAUCCACUUCCCAUGCUCGCUUCUCCAGUUUGGUUAUGUAUAAUUACUUCAAGGAUGCACAGAAGAUUGCAAAGGAGGUCAAGAGUAGUUUUCUUAAUGACCCAGACAGAUUAGCUGAACUUUGCAUAUUGGAGCAGGUUGCAGAGCACAAUAGUGUUGCCCUAAAUGUGAUUUCCCGAGUCGGAGCUCUUGACCCGUCCCUCAAGGUUUCUUUCGAGUUCAUCCACCACCCAUGUUUUGCCACUGUUGUUGUCAAGAGAUCUUGAAGAUCGCUAAUUGCACCAUGGGAGGCCCCCCAAGUUUACAACAUUGGGCUGAGCUUUUUCAGCUGAAAAGACGACCAAACCCAUUUUAGUAAAAUAAAAUCUAGUGAUAGCCUUCAGGCCGAAGUAGAGAGUGUGCUUUUAAGAUCAUUCGAGGGACCUGAGACUUUCUAGAAUGCUUCGAUCUUCGCACCAAACAGAGAGCCCUGCCAAAAUCAAAUCUUGGACGUCCGGAAAGUGAUCAAACGGCUACAAUUUUUUUCAGCGUAAUUUAAGGUGUGCCAGAAAGUGGAGACCGCUAUCAACGUCACUUUCAAAUAAAUUCUUUACUUGGAUAGAUUUUUUUAUUAGAAUCUUUACUUCGAUAGGUAAAACGAAUUUGUUUUUAUUCUAUGGUUUUGGAUCCGGGCUUAACAUCAAAUUGUUAGAAAAAAAUAAUUCAUGAAUAUAUUAAUUUAAAAACAAAUGGAUGGCUUUAAGAA
Populus trichocarpa (black cottonwood) is the source of this 2783-nucleotide RNA transcript. RefSeq lists it as uncharacterized. The record is from RefSeq and is a predicted model, not a curated record. Lineage: Eukaryota; Viridiplantae; Streptophyta; Magnoliopsida; Malpighiales; Salicaceae. The transcript is spliced from 18 exons.